Molecule: ribosomal RNA, 192 nt
Filed under: Trimmatothelopsis rhizobola
Lineage: Eukaryota; Fungi; Ascomycota; Lecanoromycetes; Acarosporales; Acarosporaceae
Description: 5.8S ribosomal RNA
Rfam family: 5.8S ribosomal RNA (bases 5-158)
About the family: 5.8S ribosomal RNA (5.8S rRNA) is a component of the large subunit of the eukaryotic ribosome.
Source: RNAcentral
UUAAAACUUUCAACAACGGAUCUCUUGGUUCUGGCAUCGAUGAAGAACGCAGCGAAAUGCGAUAAGUAAUGUGAAUUGCAGAAUUCAGUGAAUCAUCGAAUCUUUGAACGCACAUUGCGCCCCCUGGUAUUCCGGGGGGCAUGCCCGUCCGAGCGUCAUUGCACCACUCAGGCUCGGCCUGAUGUUGGGCCG